RNAcentral lists this non-coding RNA (150 nucleotides) under Homo sapiens (human). Lineage: Eukaryota; Metazoa; Chordata; Mammalia; Primates; Hominidae. The record is from Rfam by way of RNAcentral.
GCUGGGCAUGGUGGUGCAUGCCUGUAAUCCCAGCUACUUGAGAGGCUGAGGUGGGAGAAUUGCUUGAACCCAGGGUGGACGGAGGUUACAGUGAGCCGAGAUCAUGACACUGCACUCUAGCCUGGGCAAUAAAGUGAGACUCCACCUCAA